AGGAAAUAGAUACCCGGGUAGUCCACGCCAUAAACGAUGGAUACUUGGUGUUGGAGGUAUUGACCCCUUCAGUGCCGAAAGCAAAAACGCGUUAAGUAUCCCGCCUGGGGAGUACGGUCGCAAGAUUAAAACUCAAAGAAAUUGACGGGGGCCCGCACAAGCGGUGGAGCAUGUGGUUCAAUUCGAUGCAACGCGAAAAACCUUACCUAGAUUUGACAUGUAUUGGAAGGAUCCCAGAAAUGGGUCCGCCCGCAGGGGCCGAUACACAGGUGCUGCAUGGCUGUCGUCAGCUCGUGUCGUGAGAUGUUGGGUUAAGUCCCCGCAACGAGCGCAACCCCUGUGUUUAGUUGCCAGCAUUUAGUUGGGCACUCUAAACAGACUGCCGACGUUAAGUCGGAGGAAGGUGGGGAUGACGUCAAGUCCUCAUGGCCUUUAUAUCUAGGGCUACACACGUGCUACAAUGGUCGGUACAGAGGGAAGCAAAGCCGCAAGGUAGAGCAAAUCCCAGAAAGCCGAUCUAAGUUCGGAUCGUAGUCUGCAACUCGAC
This 547-nucleotide ribosomal RNA is filed under the name uncultured bacterium. Its description in RNAcentral is "bacterial SSU rRNA". It matches the Rfam family "Bacterial small subunit ribosomal RNA", at positions 774 to 1316 of the family's 1533-position model. The record is from RNAcentral.